Numida meleagris (helmeted guineafowl) is the source of this 4308-nucleotide long non-coding RNA. RefSeq lists it as uncharacterized. The record is from RefSeq and is a predicted model, not a curated record. NCBI's taxonomy places the organism in Eukaryota, Metazoa, Chordata, Aves, Galliformes, Numididae. The transcript has 3 exons.
AAGAGUGCCGAAAGUAUUUAGAAACCAUCUUUCAGUACCAAGUAAACAACAGGUAGAAUUUGUCCAACAUCUUUGUUCAGCUUGGUGUAUGCCUGCCUACUUAAAGCACCAAAUUAUGAAGCAGGUAUUUUUCCUUCCUCCUCCACCAGUAAGACCGUACUUACAAAACACCCAUGAAAUAACACAGAACAGUUUUAGCUAACUUGUAAAAGCAGUGGACAAAUUUCAACAUGUGAAAGAAUGUACAACCUGAGAAGGCAUUAUUUUGCUUCAGAUAAAAAAGCCGAAGCCAAGAAUAUCAGCGUAUGAACAGAAACAAGAGAAUAUGACAUAGCUACUCAAAGCAUUUUACAUUAAGUAGAAAAGAUCGUCCAUUACUACCAACAGAUUAAAUAAGAAUAUACAUUCAAUACAACACAUACAGGAUCUUAAAAUACAGUAUUGUGUAAGGAAAACAUAUUUCUAAAUCAAAUUUAAACACCAGGCUAGCUCACUAGAAACUGCCAAUCUGAAGCACUCCAACAGCUGUGUUCACAUCCCUUUAGAAAAGUCAUGGCUCUGACAUAAAAUCCAGACAUUUCCAGAACUGUAUACAUACAUAGACUUGCAUUCUGGUUUUUAAGGUCAUAGACGUAAGCUUUUAUGGAGUAUGAAGAAUGCAUUUACAAAAAUGAAAUGCAUAGAUACCUGUUGCCAAGGGUGAUGAAGAAACAAACACUUCUCUGCUUUUCUUUCUCCUCUACAGAUAUGUCUGCCUUGGUAACAUACAGACCACAGCAGCAGAAGGUUAUGGGAGGAGUUACUCCUGUCCAGUGGAGAACACUUUUUCUUUUUCAAAGCCAAAAAAACACCACCAACAACAAUAAACAACCCUACCGUUCCAUAGCAUCUUUUUUGUAAUCAAAGGCAAGCAAAACCAUGAUUGUUUAUUAUGUGUCCUGGCUUUACUGCAGCCAUAUUAAGCCAUGCAAAUCAAGAAGAGAUAUUAAUAUGUGACUGGAAGGUCAGAAAGUAACAACCAAGCAACAACAGACAUGUCUGACAGCAUAGGACAAUGCUUCUGUUGCAAUGAUGCAGCACUCUAACAUACGGUGAGGGGAUCUCAGAUAAACUUCAGUCAGAGUGAAUACUAAGAGAUUGCACUUCCUGUUACAUUUUCUUACUGCACACUACACAAUUUAAUAAAAUAAAUCCAUUGAAUGUUAAUUAAAAGGAAAAAAAAGGUUAUCCUCCUGCAUGUAGCUGCACUAAGGCAACAGAGUUGGAUGAAAGGUCCUUUUUAACAUCAAGGCUUUUGUACUGUAGUUAUGCUUGGUAUUAAUCCACUGAUAUGGGUAUAAUACCUGCUUUUGCUUAUUUUUUCUUCUGUAUGAAGGAGUGAUACAAUAGUCACACACUUAUUUAUAUCACUGGCUGGUUCAUCAAAUUUUCUCAAAUCAGGUCAUUUUAAGGCUGACAUAUUUUUUUAUGACUUUGAGUAUUUGAAAUAGCAAAAAGCAUUCCAUAUCCUCCAGCUGUUAGGUUUUUUUUAAAUAUUAAGUCUACCACUUAUGUGUAAUAUAUAAUAAAUCAGUGUGUUACCUUGAGCAAAGAGGCAUUCAGCAUCACUGAGUAGAAAGCAUUCAGAAAUAUGCACCUCACAAGCGUGUGGUUUUGAACAAGUCAUUCUGCUACCAUAGUUCAUUUACGAUUAUAAAUAGCAGCUAACCUGAAAACUUAGGGAGAUAUAAAAAUGGAAAAGGUGGCAGAAUGGUUUUGAAGAUUAAUAGCACUUUCCUUUCUUAUUAUCAUACAUGGCCUUCUAAUUUUCAGGUCCGAUUUCAUGAGAAGACAAAAAUACACAUUAAAACAAAACGUGUUUGAAAAUUGUUUUCUUCAUAAAUCGAACUGCAAUGUAACUUCCAGUAUAUUGCUAAUAUGCAUUUAUCUGCUGAAUCCCAAAACCUGUACAAAUACAUCAUCUAGCUCUUGUUUGCACUGUGUAGUUAAAAACAAAACAAAAACCUUUUGCUUGCUUAAAGAAAGGAUAAGUAUAAACAUCACAAUCAUUUCCUUCUCUUUGGUCUCAUUACAGCUUUCAUUAACGUUGUAUUUAUGAAUAAUGCUUCUCGGAACACUGCCCAACUUUAAAAUCAUUACAGACCAGGAGCAGGAUUUAUCUAUAUAAACUCUCUUAAGAGUUGUUAGACAAAUCACCUGUAAGUCCUGAAUUACUCAAAGCACUACAAAAGGAGAAGAUGACUAUUCAUCAGUUUGAGAGAUAAUGUUGGUCUACUGAUGACUCUAUGUUAAAAUAAAAAUUGUAUUUAACCUGAAUCAUGCUAUAAAACACGCAACUUAGUACUGGAUUAAGCAAGGGCUGUGGCCUAAGCAAUAACAAAUUGGGCACUGAAGACUAGUGAAGGCAGAUGGACUCAUUCUAUUUCGAUUGAAGUGGAUGAACUCAAGUUCAAUGCCCAGACCAUAAAAUAGACCAGUAAAGUAUUCUAAUAACUAUUUCAGAACAUAUGUUAUACUGGUUUCUUUGUAAAACUCCUACAGUUGUUCUACAAGACUUCUUUGUCCACUAUAUAUCAUUCUCUCUUUCUCACUGUUUGAUUUGCCUCAGUCUUUUAUCUUCACAAUUGCCAUCUGAACACCAGCGUGCGGACAGAUUUUACUGCCCACUUGUAUCCUUCCAUAGGCCAGAAGCAUUCCUUUAUUACUGCAGUUAUCCUAGCGAAGACUUAUUACUCUCACUGCAACACAAGGAGCAUUUUUUUGUUGGCAGCGAUCCUCUAGCUUUCAGACACAAAGGCAUGAUUUAAAGAAAAACAUCAGCCCCUGAAGACUUCCACAGGUUUUCCCUUGCAAACGGAGCUUUCACUGUGGCACACAAGUAAUAGCAAGAUGGCCGGAUGAAGCAACGCGUCUGAAAAGCUCGGCUGUCAGCUCGUUACAUUAACCAUAUAUAACACCCUAUCCAUUCCCGGGCCUGCAUGAAAUCGUUCAAGCUAAAUGGAGAAAACUACAGGACUAGCAAGAAGGAGGAAAAAGAAAAAAAGGGGAAAAAAAAAAAAAAAGAAUGCCAUGUUCAACAGUUCUCCUUUUGCUUGCUGUACGGUCUUGGAAGCAAAGGGAAAGCUAAAAGCCCACCGCUGAUUAAAGGCAGAACAGGAAGGAUUAAACCAUUAUCAUUUCUUUAAAUGCUGGUGAAGGCUGGUAUGUGCUCCGUGGAAAAUCACAACAGGUGCAAGUGCGGCCCAAUUUCAACAACCUCUGCAACUCCAGGGGCCAGUUCCUGUGCUAGCGACCAGCCUUUCAACUGCAAAGGUUCCGACUAAAUUAGCUGUAAAGGAUCUUUAAUUAAAAUGAGUAUGGUGGUUUUGGCUUGCUCAGCGUGUCUCCUUGUGAUUUGUUACAUCACAUACCGUCACAAAUUUGGCACAACUGGCAAAGCUGUUACCGAAAACGCACCUCAAGAAGAAGAAAAUGAAGCCCUCCUCACUCCCCUGUACAAUAGGUUUUUAUUUCUCCACUAUGAUGGCUCAGAAACCCAUUUCGUGGCUCUCUGCAGAUAACAUUUUGCUUCCCUCAUUCCGAGCUCCUGUUUUGACCUUGAUAGCUUGACUAUGCCUGAGGAGAGCAGGACUGGCCAGUCUCACUACACGCACUUUAUCUGCCGUUUUCACAGAGCUGAUGUGUAAGCUUGCAUAGUGAUAAGACCGUAUUUGGCAGUGAAAUACUGACUUUUAAUUUGUUGUACAAAUAUUAAGGAUAAUUCUUGGAUGAUCUACACUAAUAGAGCUCACCCUUCAGAGCUGGCACCAGCAGUGGUGCAGGCUGCAAAUUAAGGGGAACCUACCAGAUGAAUCAGUCUAUGACAACAGACUGGUUAUUUUUAAGAAAUCAAAGGCAGUGAGUAUCUAAUCUGGAAGGCUGAUGAAUGUUCUCACUCAGUAGGUGUGAAAUAAUCAGAGACAAGUAGUCUUCCCACCUCCAUUUAAAUGACUAGAGAAAAGAGCAUGAAUCUGUCUGAUCUGUGUCUACAAUUAUUUUAAGUGUACAACAGUUUGGUGCAAUAGCACAUGAAAUUAGCAAUAUCAGACCAUAGGAAAAAUGUCAAACUAUCAAUUUGUUACAGAAAGGUGAGUUUCUGUUCAGCUGAUCCAGUAUUGUGUAGUAGGCCAUUCUACCUCCAGUAAGCACAAAGUACACGUCUCUAUCAUUACUAAGACCCACUCCUUAAAUAUCAACAUUCAAGUUUUAAAAAUAUAUUCUAGCUUUCACCAUGUCUGCAGGAGUUACAAUUUCACAUUGCCAUCAAAU